GCUGGAGACAGACUAUUCAAAGGACAGCAUUCACCAUUCCAAUGGAAGAAAUGAUUCGCCGUCUUGGCAGUAGAUUUGAUUUGUCUCAGCUACAACAGCAGAAUUCUGAAGGUUCUCAUGAAUUACCUGAGCGAAGCAGCUCACUGCUCAACCGUAUUCUUACUUCCAGGGGACGCAGAGAACAGAAUCCUGUUCUGCCUUCU
This 203-nucleotide unclassified non-coding RNA is filed under the name Hevea brasiliensis (rubber tree). Lineage: Eukaryota; Viridiplantae; Streptophyta; Magnoliopsida; Malpighiales; Euphorbiaceae. The record is from RNAcentral.